AUAUGGACGCUCCAGUUGACCAGUGGGACUUGCCGCUUAUUGAAUUAAUUUUAUCAAAAAUUAGCACAACUACUGCCUGGCAUUGGGAACUAUCAUUAACUGAUAAAUCCAUGCCAUCUUACACGCAUUUGACAGACUUUUUAGAGAAGCGAGCAAACUGUACAGAUUUUAAUGUAUCGGAUCAACUUAAGCAAAAUAAUCCACGUAAUGAUAAUCUAAGAUACAAGAAAUCUAAUUCCUCUGGCAAUCAAGCAUUCAUGACGUCUAAUCCCUCACUAAAUUCUUCGAAGAAAUCAGCUUCAUGUGUUGUUUGCUCUCAAGAACACCCAGUAUAUCGUUGCGCGACUUUUCGACAGCUGUCAGUUGAAGAACGACGAAAAAUGGCCACUAAUCUCUCAUUAUGUUUUAAUUGUCUUGGUCAAAGACACGGAAUGCGCGAAUGCUUAUCUAAAAGUACUUGUCGCGAAUGCAACGCCCGUCAUCAUACCCUCUUACAUCAAUCUCAAGCCAGGAAUUCAACGAUAAAUAAAGAAACAAUUGAACAAACAAAUUCCAAUAAUAUACACGAAAUGCAAUCGUCCUCGAAGGCAGGACUAGAACCACGGAAAACAUCCAUAUCGCGACCAGUCGCCUUUGUAGUUAAUGCAUCUUUAGGCACAUUAAUGGUUACUGCAAAAAUUAAUGCAAACAACAUAAGGAAUAAACCCGUAGAAUGUCGUACUCUCAUCGAUACAUGCGCGACAUCAAAUUUUAUAACCGAAGAAUUCGCCAGAAAACUUGGACUCCAACGUCGAGAAUGUUACAUACCAAUCGGCGUUCUGAACGAUCGGGCCACGGUCUCAAAAGGCACAAUCUCAACAACCAUAUCAUCACGAACUACUGGUUAUAAUCGACUUGCAACAUUUCUAAUUGUUCAAACCAUUUCUAACUUCGUUCCACAAGAUCCAAUACAGAGGAAUCAAAUAAAAAUCCCAAAAAACAUUCAGCUCGCUGAUCCCGAAUUUCAUAAGGUUGCUCCAGUUGACAUGCUUUUGGGCACCGGCAUCGCACUGUCGUUAUUAUCAGUAGGACAAAUCGAUUUAUCGCCAGAAGGUGGACCAGAAUUGUUUUUACAAAAGACCAAAGUCGGAUGGGUAAUCGGGGGGAGUGCACCUGCUGCACGACCGUCACGUACACGUCAUUGUCAUUUAACGUCGGAGCUUCAAUUUGACAUAUCGAAAUUUUGGGAGAUCGAGGAAACUCCAAGUACAAUAGCAAUACCAGAAACGGACUGCGAAGCGCAUUUUUUGAAUAAUUUUCAACGACGUGAGGAUGGACGAUAUACUGUAGCAUUACCAUUCAACGACAAACAAUUCAAAAUCGGCGAAUCGUUAUCUAUGGCCCGCAAACGAUUACAAGGCUUACAACGAAAACUAGCAUCAAAUACAGAACUAAAUAAAGAAUACCAUAAUGUUUUGAAUGAGUAUAUAGAACUCGGCCAUUUAUCAGCAAUAGACGAACCUGAAGCAAGAGAAUCCGGAUUUUACCUGCCCCAUCAUGCCGUCACAAAACCAGGUAGUCUCACUACGGCUGUACGAGUUGUAUUUGACGGAUCCGCAAAGAGCUCUACAGGAAUAUCACUGAACGACACAUUAAUGGUCGGCCCAACGAUUCAGCCUGAAUUAAUGACACUUUUAUUACGCUUUCGAAAAUACCCUAUAGUUAUCACCGGAGACAUAGAGAAAAUGUAUCGCCAAUUUUACAUAAGGGAAGAUGAUCGCAAGUAUCAACGAAUUUUGUGGACGAACUCAAAGGGUGAAAUCCAAACUUAUGAAUUAAACACCGUAACCUUUGGAUUGUCGUGUGCACCAUAUCUAGCCAUUCGUUGUCUCCAUCAACUAGGUCGCGAUGAACAAGACAAUUAUCCAUUAGCCUCAAAAGUUGUACAAUCAGAUUUUUACGUCGAUGAUCUAUUAACAGGGGCAAACAAUAUAGAUGACGUUUUGCACAUACGAGAUCAACUGACUAAACUUCUCGAGUGCGGUGGUUUGAAAAUCAGGCAGUGGGCAUCUAACAAUCCAAAAGCACUAGAAGGACUGCCAACAGAAAGCAUAAAUAAACAUUUGCUUUUGCAAGACACAUCGACCAUAAAAACCCUCGGUAUCAAGUGGGACUCCUCUCACGACACCAUAGUCUACACCGUCAAUCCCACUCAUAUUCCUGAAAAAACAACAAAAAGAGCAAUAAUGUCUGUCAUCGCUCGUAUUUUUGAUCCUCUCGGUCUAUUGGCUCCUGUCGUCAUUACUGCAAAGAUAGUUAUGCAAAAGUUAUGGGCAUUAAAACUCGAUUGGGAUGAGUCACUCCCAACUGAUCUCCAUACAGAAUGGAAUCACUACUAUCAGCAAUUAUCGGAAUUGAAUAAUAUACACUUUAACAGACUCACAACCAUCAAAAAUUCCGUCAACAUUGAGCUCCAUGGGUUUUGUGACGCAAGUCAAAGGGCCUACGGAGCAUGUGUAUACGUAAAAUCUUGGAACAAAACAGGAAAAUCAAAGGUUACCCUUCUUUGCGCAAAAUCACGAGUAUCACCAUUAAAAGCAACAACUAUUCCCCGCUUAGAACUGUGCGGAGCACAACUACUUGCUAAUUUGAUCACAUACGUGAAAGAAGCACUGCAACUGAAUUUACAAAAAAUUAUUUGCUGGACAGACUCGACAAUUGUAUUACAUUGGUUAAAAACUCAUCCACAAAAUUUGAAAACCUUUGUUGCAAACCGCAUCGCUUCAAUCCAAGAAAAGGCAGAUAUCCACGAAUGGAGGCACAUAAAAACACAUGAAAAUCCUGCCGAUUUAAUUUCCAGAGGGGUGUUACCUGCACAAUUUGGUAGUAGAACAUCGUCAAAAUUUACACGCAGGCGUACAAGCCACUUUAUAUGCACUGCGACGACAGUAUUGGAUUUUAGAUGGUCGGAAUCAAGUCCGAAAAAUAAUUCGACGUUGCAUCACUUGCUGCAAAUCGCAACCUGUAUCCAUAGAAUAUUUAAUGGGCGACUUACCUGCUUCGAGAGUAACCCCAGCCCGACCCUUCAGCAGAGUAGGUAUCGACUAUUGCGGACCUUUUUUCAUUAAAGAAAAGAAGUUGCGUAAUAGAAACAAGGUAAAGGUCUACGUAGCCAUAUUUAUAUGCUUCACCACCAAGGCGGUACAUAUUGAAGUAGUUAGCGAUCUAUCAACAGAUGCAUUUUUAGCAGCCCUGAAAAGAUUUAUUGCACGACGAGGAAUUUGCACCGACAUUUAUACAGACAAUGCCACAAACUUUGUGGGAGGACACAAUGAAAUCAAGGAAUUAUAUGCAUUACUGAAUGACACUAAACAUCAGCAAAAACUUAAUCGAUACUGUAAUCAAAAGGAAAUAAAAUGGCACUUUAUACCAGCACGAGCUCCCAACUUCGGUGGUCUCUGGGAAGCCGCAGUCAAAUCAUUCAAACACCAUCUCCGUCGCAUUAUCGGCAAUACUUUAUUAACGUUCGAGGAAUUAACUACUCUAACCACUGAAAUUGAAGCUAUUUUGAAUUCUCGCCCUCUGACACCUAUUUCCUCCGACCCCAACGAUUUAUCAGUUCUCACACCUGCUCAUUUCCUUAUUGGCGAUUCAUUAACGAGCUUGCCUAGUCAGGAUUUUUCAGAAGUUUCAGUUAAUAGAUUGUCAACCUGGGAGCACAUACAACAGAUGCGUCAACAUUUUUGGUCCCGAUGGUCAAAAGAAUACCUAAAUGAAUUGACUACACGCCAUAAAUGGAAAAAACAACUUCCAAACCUCGAAAUUGGGACACUUGUCUUACUAAAAGAAGACAACCUCCCUCCACUUCAAUGGAGUCUGGGAAAGAUAACAGCUACUUAUCCAGGUGAUGACGGUAUUGUAAGAGUCGUCAGAAUCAAAACCGCCAAGGGGGAAUAUGACCGCAGCGUGCAAAAGGUAGCACCACUGCCAAUUCAACAGGCUGAAGAUAAAUUUAUCAAGUCCAUUGAAGCAUCAUAAUAUUUAUUUUCUUCAUUUUCUAAUUUUGUUUUAAUUCAAAUUCAAUAUGUUAUUUUUAAUCUAAAUUAAUAUAGCUAGCGAAUCUAUUGUAACUAUUGAACAUCUACUAUUUGAUCGGCAUUUGCCUCUCAACGGGGGGAGUAUGUUCAGUUUAACGAAUCUUUUUUCAAAACUUUUCAACGUUCAAAAUAGCCUCACUAUUCACCCGCAGGUAAUUUUUGUCGAGACCCUUCACUAACCAUUUUUAUGACGGUCCGGCAAGUUCGAAUUCUCAGUAAUUCCUUGAAUGAUUUGUUGCUCUAUUUUGUGUCUUUAAGGGCUAUUUUUGCUCGUACAUUUCGUAUUAGUCUUUUUUUGUUUACCGAAAACCUAAAAUGCUUUCCUCUAAAAGCAGUCGUUCAUUGUCACUCGCACAAAACAGCAUCUCAACAAACAUACUCUCCGCGGGAUAUAACAUAUUUUGUACGCGUAUUUUUUCAACAAUUAAUUUUAUUUUAUUGACAUAGUGUAUUUUUAAAAUUAUUUAAUAAAGUUCAGUGUUAUUGUUAGUGAAGAAAUAGUGCGUUAUUUUAUCCGUAACAAUUUUCAACCUAUAAACUAUAAACUACCUAUAAUCACUUAAUUGGAAUUAUAGGCAAUUGAUAACAACUCAAUUCCACACCGAGUUACGUUCAUCAAUUAACAGUAUUCAACAACAUAACAACUUCCGAGAAUUAAAAAAAACUUACAAAAUGAAUGAAACCAUCUUUGCGGCGUGGACAUCUUACUAAAGUUUCAUCGCAA
Agrilus planipennis (emerald ash borer) is the source of this 4800-nucleotide RNA transcript. It is a transcript of the gene named 1-acyl-sn-glycerol-3-phosphate acyltransferase alpha, with no coding region annotated. Lineage: Eukaryota; Metazoa; Arthropoda; Insecta; Coleoptera; Buprestidae. The transcript has 2 exons. The record is from RefSeq and is a predicted model, not a curated record.